Molecule: unclassified non-coding RNA, 343 nt
Filed under: soil metagenome
Description: partial contains 5.8S ribosomal RNA, internal transcribed spacer 2, and large subunit ribosomal RNA
Rfam family: 5.8S ribosomal RNA (bases 1-120)
Source: RNAcentral
GAUGAAGAACGUAGCGAAAUGCGAUAAGUAAUGUGAAUUGCAGAAUUCCGUGAAUCAUCGAAUCUUUGAACGCACAUUGCGCCCGCCAGCAUUCUGGCGGGCAUGCCUGUUCGAGCGUCAUUUCAACCCUCGAGCCCCCCCGGGGGCCUCGGUGUUGGGGGACGGCACACCAGCCGCCCCCGAAAUGCAGUGGCGACCCCGCCGCAGCCUCCCCUGCGUAGUAGCACACACCUCGCACCGGAGCGCGGAGGCGGUCACGCCGUAAAACGCCCAACUUUCUUAGAGUUGACCUCGGAUCAGGUAGGAAUACCCGCUGAACUUAAGCAUAUCAAUAAGCGGAGGA